RNAcentral lists this ribosomal RNA (253 nucleotides) under uncultured bacterium. Its description in RNAcentral is "partial 16S ribosomal RNA". It matches the Rfam family "Bacterial small subunit ribosomal RNA", at positions 524 to 776 of the family's 1533-position model. The record is from RNAcentral.
UACGAAGGGUGCAAGCGUUACUCGGAAUUACUGGGCGUAAAGCGUGCGUAGGGGGUGGUUUAAGUCAGAUGUGAAAGCCCUGGGCUCAACCUGGGAACUGCAUUUGAUACUGGAUCACUAGAGUGCGGUAGAGGAUAGUGGAAUUCCCGGUGUAGCAGUGAAAUGCGUAGAGAUCGGGAGGAACACCAGUGGCGAAGGCGGGUCUCUGGGCCGAUACUGACGCUGAGGAGCGAAAGCGUGGGGAGCGAACAGG